CAUGCCCAUCGGGCAGUCGCCUCUGCCUUGUGCAGGGGAGGAAAGUCCGAACUCCAUAGGGCUGGGUGCCGGAUAACGUCCGGGCGUCGAAAGACGACGGAAAGUGCAACAGAAAAGAUACCGCCUUCAGGUAUCUCGGUUCUGCCGGGAUCAUGUGGGUAAGGGUGAAAUGGUGCGGUAAGAGCGCACCGGCAGGCUGGAGACAGCCUGGCCUUGUAAACCCCACCCGGAGCAAGACCAUAUAGGAGUGCCGUCUUCGGAGCUGCGCGGCCCGUGCAGUGAACCCCGCUUUGCGGGACCGGCAUUCGGGUAGGUCGCGUGAAUCUCACGGCAACGUGGGAUCCAGAUAGAUGACUGCCUCUUUCGCUUCGGCGAAAAAGACAGAAUUCGGCUUACAGAUGGGCUUGAGUU
RNAcentral lists this RNase P RNA (411 nucleotides) under Ignavibacteria bacterium. Its description in RNAcentral is "RNase P RNA component class A". It matches the Rfam family "Bacterial RNase P class A". From Rfam's summary of the family: Ribonuclease P (RNase P) is a ubiquitous endoribonuclease, found in archaea, bacteria and eukarya as well as chloroplasts and mitochondria. Its best characterised activity is the generation of mature 5'-ends of tRNAs by cleaving the 5'-leader elements of precursor-tRNAs. The record is from RNAcentral. Lineage: Bacteria; Pseudomonadati; Ignavibacteriota; Ignavibacteria.